This 253-nucleotide ribosomal RNA is filed under the name uncultured bacterium. RNAcentral's name for it is "partial 16S ribosomal RNA". It matches the Rfam family "Bacterial small subunit ribosomal RNA", at positions 524 to 776 of the family's 1533-position model. The record is from RNAcentral.
UACAGAGGUCUCAAGCGUUGUUCGGAUUCAUUGGGCGUAAAGGGUGCGUAGGUGGCGGGGUAAGUCAGGUGUGAAAUCUCGGAGCUCAACUCCGAAACUGCACUUGAUACUGCCUUGCUCGAGUACUGGAGAGGAGAUUGGAAUUUACGGUGUAGCAGUGAAAUGCGUAGAUAUCUGGAGGAACACCGGUGGCGAAGGCGGCAUCCUGGACCGACACUGACACUGAGGAGCGAAAGCCAGGGGAGCAAACGGG